AGGCCGCCCGCCUCCUCCUGUCCGACAUGUGGUCCAGCAGGGAGCUGCAGGGGCUGCUCAGGCAGCAAGGCUUCGAUAGGAGCAUGCUGGGGACCUUGGCUGGGGCCAACAGCCUCAGGAACUUCACCUCCCGCUUCUGAGAGGGGCCGCCCGCACGUUCAGCUUGCAGACGUGAUCCGACCAGCUGAGCAGACCCGGGCCUUGCUGCAGGCGUCUGUCCACCUGCAGUGUUUGGAGAUGUUCAAAGCCAGCCACGAGCACACUGGGACACUGCGGUGGAUGAAAAUAUUUUUAGAUUCUUUCUNNNNNNNNNNNNNNNNNNNNNNNNNNNNNNNNNNGGGGAGCCGGGGGCUUUCUUGAGUUAAGGGGGCUUAUGUCUUGAUGUUAAUACUUCUUUCGCUGAGAAACGGUAUAUAUACACAUGUAUAGUGUGUGUGUGCGUGCGCGUGUGUGUGUGCAUACGUGUGUGUGGAAGGCAGGCCCUGGAACUGCAGGGCUGGGUGAGCUGUGGGCUGAGCUCACAGUGGCAGCAGGCCUCGCGCUCAUAGACGUGGGUUACCUGUGCUUGGGGUUUUGUUCCCCGUCAUCCCGAAGUGUGGGUGCCAGGCCCUUACCAGCACCAGAUUGGCAGGGCUCAGUGUAUCUCUUGGGAAAUCUGGCAUGGCCGUGCGGCUCUCCCACGGUGCCUGGGGCUGGGGCUGGGCGGCCGUGGGGUCUGCUGGACGGGCCGGGACAGGCAGGCUGGCUUUGCUGCGUGCAGUCUGUCUGGAGAGUAGGUCCUGGGGGGCGGCCGACCAUUCCUGCAGGGCGAGUACCCAUCAGAGCAGGCUCACCUGGGAGCCCUGGCCUACAGGGGUGA
Molecule: long non-coding RNA, 859 nt
Filed under: Capra hircus (goat)
Lineage: Eukaryota; Metazoa; Chordata; Mammalia; Artiodactyla; Bovidae
Description: lncRNA (ENSCHIG00010023057.1)
Source: RNAcentral